This 253-nucleotide ribosomal RNA is filed under the name uncultured bacterium. RNAcentral's name for it is "partial 16S ribosomal RNA". It matches the Rfam family "Bacterial small subunit ribosomal RNA", at positions 524 to 776 of the family's 1533-position model. The record is from RNAcentral.
UACGUAGGGACCGAGCGUUGUCCGGAAUCAUUGGGCGUAAAGAGCGUGUAGGCGGCUUGCUAAGUCUUGCGUGAAAUCUCGGGGCUCAACCCCGAGCGGUCGUGGGAAACUGGCAGGCUAGAGUGCGGGAGAGGAGAAUGGAAUUCCUGGUGUAGCGGUGAAAUGCGCAGAUAUCAGGAAGAACACCCGUGGCGAAGGCGGUUCUCCGGAACGCAACUGACGCUGAGACGCGAAAGCGUGGGGAGCAAACAGG